RNAcentral lists this unclassified non-coding RNA (245 nucleotides) under Hevea brasiliensis (rubber tree). The record is from RNAcentral. Lineage: Eukaryota; Viridiplantae; Streptophyta; Magnoliopsida; Malpighiales; Euphorbiaceae.
CCAUGAUAUAUCACCACCACCUAGCCAUUUGCUCUCAUCAAGCUUGGGAUCCCAACACCCUAACAGGGUGAACUGUAAUUAAUUGUGUCAUCACAGGCAUAUACAGGGAAGAUCUGUUGAUGCAUCACUUUCGCCUCCCAAAGAAUUGCUUGUGAUCCUUUUGUCCCAACAGGCGGUUAAGUUCCACUCAACUGGAUACAAGUUUCAAGGAGAAGUUUGAAAUCAAGGUGAUAGGAGAAACAUCU